GGCCCUAUCGUCUAGCGGUUAGGACGUCGCCUUCUCAAGGCGGUAACCCGGGUUCGACUCCCGGUAGGGUCA
RNAcentral lists this transfer RNA (72 nucleotides) under Minisyncoccota bacterium. Its description in RNAcentral is "tRNA-Glu". It matches the Rfam family "tRNA". From Rfam's summary of the family: Transfer RNA (tRNA) molecules are approximately 80 nucleotides in length. Their secondary structure includes four short double-helical elements and three loops (D, anti-codon, and T loops). Further hydrogen bonds mediate the characteristic L-shaped molecular structure. tRNAs have two regions of fundamental functional importance: the anti-codon, which is responsible for specific mRNA codon recognition, and the 3' end, to which the tRNAs corresponding amino acid is attached (by aminoacyl-tRNA synthetases). tRNAs cope with the degeneracy of the genetic code in two manners: having more than one tRNA (with a specific anti-codon) for a particular amino acid; and 'wobble' base-pairing, i.e. permitting non-standard base-pairing at the 3rd anti-codon position. RNAcentral also lists the same sequence under 1 other name. Lineage: Bacteria; Bacillati; Minisyncoccota. The record is from RNAcentral.